AAGUGGUAGCAAUACCAUGAGUAAAGUGGCGCACGGGUGAGUAACACGUGACUAACCUACCCUGGAGUGGGGAAUAACUGAGGGAAACCUUAGCUAAUGCCGCAUAACACCUACGGGUCAAAGGAGCAAUUCGCUUCAGGAGGGGGUCGCGGCCGAUUAGUUAGUUGGCGGGGUAACGGCCCACCAAGACGAUGAUCGGUAUCCGGCCUGAGAGGGCGCACGGACACACUGGAACUGAAACACGGUCCAGACUCCUACGGGAGGCAGCAGUGGGGAAUUUUGCGCAAUGGGGGAAACCCUGACGCAGCAACGCCGCGUGGAGGAUGAAGUCCUUCGGG
Molecule: ribosomal RNA, 338 nt
Filed under: uncultured bacterium
Lineage: Bacteria
Description: bacterial SSU rRNA
Rfam family: Bacterial small subunit ribosomal RNA
Source: RNAcentral